GACGAACGCUGGCGGCGUGCUUAACACAUGCAAGUCGAACGGAAAGGCCCUUCGGGGUACUCGAGUGGCGAACGGGUGAGUAACACGUGGGUGAUCUGCCCUGCACUUUGGGAUAAGCCUGGGAAACUGGGUCUAAUACCGAAUAGGACCACGCGCUUCAUGGUGUGUGGUGGAAAGCUUUUGCGGUGUGGGAUGGGCCCGCGGCCUAUCAGCUUGUUGGUGGGGUAAUGGCCUACCAAGGCGACGACGGGUAGCCGGCCUGAGAGGGUGACCGGCCACACUGGGACUGAGAUACAGCCCAGACUCCUACGGGAGGCAGCAGUGGGGAAUAUUGCACAAUGGGCGCAAGCCUGAUGCAGCGACGCCGCGUGAGGGAUGACGGCCUUCGGGUUGUAAACCUCUUUCAAUAGGGACGAAGCGCAAGUGACGGUACCUAUAGAAGAAGCACCGGCCAACUACGUG
This 462-nucleotide ribosomal RNA is filed under the name uncultured bacterium. RNAcentral's name for it is "partial 16S ribosomal RNA". It matches the Rfam family "Bacterial small subunit ribosomal RNA", at positions 28 to 507 of the family's 1533-position model. The record is from RNAcentral.